CCUGCACACCCAACGGCCUAAUCACCGGAAGGCCACAGUUUGCAUCAGGGCUCACUCUUGGUGGGGUGACACAGAGGCCCAGAGAAGUGAGGGAAGGCCGGAGGUCCCGUCACAAAGAUGUGGCGCUGCACAGAAUCAAACCUACCUUCCUGCAAACAGCACAGGGCAGGUAAACCCUGGCCUCCUCGGCCGGCGUCCGCCCCUGGCCUGAGCUUGUCGUGGAGCAGAGCUCAGACUUUCCCAUCUUGGAAACCGUUCACACUCUGAAAAUGUUUUGAGGAUCUUAAAGAGCUUUGGUUUAUGUGGGUUAUAUCUACUGACAUAUACUGUACCAGAAAUUAAAAUGGAGAAAUUUAAAAAAUA
Long non-coding RNA from Galeopterus variegatus (Sunda flying lemur), 363 nucleotides. RefSeq lists it as uncharacterized. The record is from RefSeq and is a predicted model, not a curated record. The transcript has 2 exons. NCBI's taxonomy places the organism in Eukaryota, Metazoa, Chordata, Mammalia, Dermoptera, Cynocephalidae.